RNAcentral lists this ribosomal RNA (497 nucleotides) under uncultured bacterium. RNAcentral's name for it is "partial 16S ribosomal RNA". It matches the Rfam family "Bacterial small subunit ribosomal RNA", at positions 28 to 507 of the family's 1533-position model. The record is from RNAcentral.
GAUGAACGCUGGCGGCGUGCCUAAUACAUGCAAGUCGAGCGAACGGACGAGAAGCUUGCUUCUCUGCUGUUAGCGGCGGACGGGUGAGUAACACGUGGAUAACCUACUUAUAAGACUGGGGUAACUUCGGGAAACCGGAGCUACUACCAGAUAAUAUUUUGAACCGCAUGGUUCAAAAGUUAAAGACGGUCUUGCUGUCACUUAUAGAUGGAUCCGCGCUGCAUUAGCUAGUUGGUAAGGUAACGGCUUACCAAGGCAACGAUGCAUAGCCGACCUGAGAGGGUGAAUCGGCACCCUGGAACUGAGGCACGGGCCAGACCCCUAAGGGAGGCAGCAGUAGGGAAUCUUCCGCAAAGGGGGAAAGGCUGACGGAGCAACGCCGCGUGAGUGAUGGAGGUCUUCGGAUCGUAAAACUCUGUUAUUAGGGAAGAACAUAUGUGUAAGUAACUGUGCACAGCUUGACGGUAACUAAUCAGAAAGCCACGGCUAACUACGUG